Molecule: unclassified non-coding RNA, 287 nt
Filed under: Athalia rosae (coleseed sawfly)
Lineage: Eukaryota; Metazoa; Arthropoda; Insecta; Hymenoptera; Athaliidae
Description: misc RNA ENSAEAG00005006389.1
Source: RNAcentral
GAACAUCUGUAACAUUUGAGGAUGAAUUCAUCUAUUCACCCAUUGCGCUGGGGACUGAUACCUGAAUUGAUGCUUCCGUCAGUCCGACUACACGUAGCCAUUGUUGGAGGGAUGGAUAUUGGCGCAUUUCAACAGGCAAUGACUCUACCGCAAGCUUGGCUUUCCUCACAAGUUGUUUGGAAUAUAAUUUAAUUAAUUUACCCUGUUACAAAAGAAAAACAAAACAAAUGAUGUUAUCAUUCAGAAACGUACGUUGAUGCCAUACAUCAGAUAUUGCGACGUGAGCC